Molecule: long non-coding RNA, 2355 nt
Filed under: Daphnia pulicaria
Lineage: Eukaryota; Metazoa; Arthropoda; Branchiopoda; Diplostraca; Daphniidae
Description: uncharacterized LOC124350131, transcript variant X6
Source: RNAcentral
UGCGCCACUAAUUUAUUAUAGUUAACAAUGACUUGUGAAGUUUAUUACCAAGAUCGUCAAGAUUACCCAUUUAUUUAAUAGUGGGUAAGUGUAAACUUUAAUUGUUAUACAGCAAUCGAGGAGUGGUAGCGCGUAAAGCGACACCUAAUAGAAGAUAUUCGAACUCUUUACUGUGUUGAUGAUGGAGAAAGAGUCGUACACUCGUAAGUUACUUUAGAUUGUCUUACGUUAAAUUUAGAGUUCAACCUGCCAACGGGCCGGCCAGUUUGCAUGUCCUUCACGCUUGAAGGUCGCGGGGAAAAUUACGUAAAACUGUCAAUGCGGUGGUGUAGAGGUUGGGUGAGAACUGGACGUGUUGCAUCAUUAUUAAGCAGACCCAUCCCCAGCAACGUAAACCAAAAGAAGGAAAGGCCAUUUUCUUCACGCUCGAAGGUCGAAACAAAAACGUAAAACGUGUCAUGCGACGGGGAAGAGGUUGGGUGAGGACGACACGUGCUACCUCAUUAUCAAGCAGGUACAAUAGCCGCAAGGCUUAAGAGGUGGGUCAGGGUGAGAAAAAGAAAAAGUCGUAUAAAAGGCGAGAGAAAAGGCUACGGAACUCAGUUGAGUGAGCUUCUCCGACACGGCAACAACUGCUGUGCACUUAUGGUCACCAACUGCAUUUUCCGUCGCAAAUACAGUUAACUAUGGCGUCAUACUGCUGUUUGGUGUUGUGUCUAGCUGAUGGGCCAGGAAUCAGUCGAUGUCCGGCUGACGACGGCGUCUUUGAGCGGAGUCACUGCCAGCCACUGCAAGCCCACCGGUGAAUAUUUCGAUGUCGUUGACGCUGUAGACGCUGGCCAGGAGGACGAUUUGGUGGAUGAGACGCGUUGCAACGAUUCCUAAUUCCCCGAAGUCAACCUGCAGAUGGUUUGGUUAGUUUGCUUUUCCUUCACGCUAGAUAGUCAGGCGGAACAUUACGUAAAACUGUCAUGCGGUGGUGUAGAGGUUGGUUGAGAAUCGUGUAAUAGUGCAGAGGUUGGGUGAGAAUGACACGUGUUGCAUCAUUUUGGAGUGAGUACAGUAAUGCAAGGCUUAAGAGGUGAAUCAGGGCAGGGUGAGGAAAAUUCGUAUAAAAGGAGAGAGAACAGGCGAUAGAAUUUAGUCGAGUGAGCACCUUUGACACGUCAACAACUGCAGUGCACUUAUUGUCACCAACUGCCUUCUCCGUCGCAAUGAUGGUUAAUUAUGGCGUCGUGCUGCGUUCGGAUGGUUGAUGGAAUGAUGGCUGGGUCGACCACUGGUGUACCGAUGUCUCCUGGGUAUGGCGGAUGUCAAACCGCAAUGCCACCACCUUACUACACAACAUAAAAACACGGAACAGCCGUAUACUACUCCGAGGAUCCCGAGUACCCUAAGUUCCACUCAGUUCCUAGCUACAUUGAGGGUCCAAUUAUUUCACCACCGAAGCGUCUAAGUACUACACCACCAAGGCACCGGUACACGAUUCUGGAUGCUUCCGCAGCUUACUACACCGAGGCUCCACAGUACUACACCACUAAAGGACCGGAGUAGCCAACAUACGCUGCCCCAGCUUAUUACACCGAGGCCUUCAAGUACUUCACUACCAAGGCACCGGAGUACUACACUACUACCUACGCUGCUCCAGCUUUCUACACCACUACCCACGCUGCUCCAGCUUACUACACCGAAGCAUCCAAGUACUACUCUGCCCCGAACUACACAACUACAACUGAGGCGACCAAGUGCUACGUAGCCCAGACUUACAACACAGCAGCUGCUCCUUCGUACUACGUUGAACUGUAAUACUACACCGAGGCUCCAGUUAACUAAACCACAACCUACGCUACACCUAGAUAUUACGACGAAGCCCCCAACUACUACUAUACCGAAAAGGCCACGCAUUACACAAUCACGUACACUACCCCAGUUUACUUCACUAAGUAUAACUCUGCUCCAAGCUACUACCAAACUGAGGCUCCUGUUUACUACACCAAGGCCACCGGGUAUUACACUACAACCAAAUGUUAACUAUGGCGUCGUGCUACUGUUGGAUGUUGUAUCCUUGUUGGUUUAGUCAACCGAUGUCUCGGUGGAAUAUGGAUACAACCGCAACGCCGCCUUCUUAUAACACAACAACAUACGCAACAACCGGUUACUUCACCACCAAUUCUCCGGAGUAUAAUCCACAACUGAUGUCCCGAAUUACUACACCCGAGGCCCCAAAGUAUAACACCACCAAGUCACCCGAGUACUUCACCGCCGUUACCAUUUCCCGAACUACACCACCAAGGCAGCGGAGUACUACACCACCAAGGCAGCGGAGUACUACACCACCAAGGCAGCGGAGUACUA